GAAAAUCGCUCAUGAAUACAAAAAUUUGAAUGUAAACAGGAAGUUCUUUGUUCAUGUUGUUGGAGGCAAAUGGAAUAAAGCUAACUUGAAACUCUAAAAUGUUUUUAGAGGGAUAUAUCAGAUGAAAGAGUGUACAUAUUUAGUUAUUAGAAGUAAUGCCUUCAACACAUAUGUAUGAACUGAUGUAGUCAGAGAAAUCAGAUGGCUUCAGUGACUAUGCUACAGGAUGAUAUGAGAUCACAGACAGAAAACCCAUCAAACAUAAAUUACAGAAUAUUUCAACUAAAUUAAAUGGCUGGAAUGAAGGUCCUGACCCUGGUGAUGGUUUUGGAAAAGCAAAGAGACAUUCUGAUGCCACCUUAAAUUGGGCCUACAAUACUCCAAAAAUGAUUGUGUUGUAUUCAUAACUUUCUAUCAAAUAAUUUUUUUAUUUGAUAUAUCUUUUAGUUUAAUUUUUAAGU
This is a long non-coding RNA of Mercenaria mercenaria, 461 nucleotides long. RefSeq lists it as uncharacterized. NCBI's taxonomy places the organism in Eukaryota, Metazoa, Mollusca, Bivalvia, Venerida, Veneridae. The record is from RefSeq and is a predicted model, not a curated record. The transcript has 3 exons.